Molecule: ribosomal RNA, 274 nt
Filed under: uncultured bacterium
Lineage: Bacteria
Description: partial 16S ribosomal RNA
Rfam family: Bacterial small subunit ribosomal RNA
Source: RNAcentral
CUACGGAGGGUGCAAGCGUUACUCGGAAUCACUGGGCGUAAAGCGCGCGCAGGCGGCUAUUUAAGUUGGAUGUGAAAGCCUACGGCUCAACCGUAGAACUGCAUCCAAAACUAUUUAGCUAGAGUGUGGGAGAGGAAGAUGGAAUUAGUUGUGUAGGGGUAAAAUCCGUAGAGAUAACUAGGAAUACCAAAAGCGAAGGCAGUCUUCUGGAACACUACUGACGCUGAGGCGCGAAAGCGUGGGGAGCAAACGGGAUUAGAUACCCUAGUAGUCC